UACGGAGGGUGCAAGCGUUAAUCGGAAUUACUGGGCGUAAAGCGCACGCAGGUGGCUGAGUCAGUCGGUUGUGAAAGCCCUGGGCUUAACCUGGGAAUUGCAGUCGAUACUACUCAGCUAGAGUAUGGGAGAGGGAAGCGGAAUUUCCGGUGUAGCGGUGAAAUGCGUAGAUAUCGGAAGGAACAUCAGUGGCGAAAGCGGCUUCCUGGACCAGUACCGACGUUCAGGCACGAAAGCGUGGGGAGCAAACAGG
Molecule: ribosomal RNA, 253 nt
Filed under: uncultured bacterium
Lineage: Bacteria
Description: partial 16S ribosomal RNA
Rfam family: Bacterial small subunit ribosomal RNA
Source: RNAcentral